GCAAACUUGGUCAUUUAGAGGAAGUAAAAGUCGUAACAAGGUUUCCGUAGGUGAACCUGCGGAAGGAUCAUUGCCGAACGGACGCCGUGUGUAAAAAUCUCUUCUCGAGAUGGCUACAUACGGUGUCUUUUUCGACCAACCCAUGUGAACCUGUUUAUGUGUUUAACACCACUCGAUGAUUCGUCAUCAGGUGGCUGUCCAAACCCAUUUUAACAAACCACAUUUCUGAAAAACUCUUGACUGAGACUCAUAGGUCACGCCUAAAAACGUUGAUCUCAAAAACCUAACCAUUACAACUUUUAACAACGGAUAUCUUGGCUCGCGCAUCGAUGAAGAACGCAGC
RNAcentral lists this unclassified non-coding RNA (343 nucleotides) under uncultured fungus. RNAcentral describes it as "partial contains small subunit ribosomal RNA, internal transcribed spacer 1, and 5.8S ribosomal RNA". The stretch from base 1 to 73 matches the Rfam family "Eukaryotic small subunit ribosomal RNA", at positions 1759 to 1831 of the family's 1831-position model. Lineage: Eukaryota; Fungi. The record is from RNAcentral.